CUAUAAAAAAUAUAUUUAUUAAAUUUAUAAAUAUAUCAUUGAGUACAGAUCGAAUUUAGUUGAAUAAUCAUAUCUAUUUUAAACUAGCAUACCUCUUGUAGACACAAGGAUGCGAUUUUUGGAUCGGACACUAUCUUAUAUAUCAUAUUACGAAGAGCAGCAAGAAGCUCGUUAUCCAUAUCUAUCCUAGGAGUGGUAUACUAGAAUCCCGGAUUCAAAUAGUAAGCUACAGAUAAAUUCCAUAAUUGAUUAAGUAUACUUUUACAAGUAUAAGAAAAGAAAUAUUUUAAAAGACUUUUGAAUCCAUACUUACUGGCUAGAUGCAAAUCUCUAUCCAUCUGAUAGUCCCAACGACGCUCAAUGAUGUUAAUGAAUUCUUAAGCAUCCUUCGAAUAUUCUCACUGAUCUGUUUCUUUGCCCUCUCCAUCAUGUAAUAUAAGAAGCCCAUCUGGGGAUAUUUUUCACUAUCCACGAUGCGAAGCACCUCAUAUAAUGGCUUAAUAGCCUUCACUUUCUUUUCAGCCUACUGCCAAAAUGACUGACUCAUCACCAAAUUCUCUACAUGACUUCCAUGAGUGCCGGCUCUCGCAUAUCUGCUCUCUUGCCACUUGGCACUGACAAAUAUCUGACAUAAGGCUGCUUUCUUCUGAAAAAGAUUAUCAAGUGUUAUGUAGUUGGUAGCAAAUCGUGUGACAUCUGAUCUCAAAAUCUUCCCCCCAAUAUACGUCCGCAUCAAUGAAAGGACCCAUGUUUGAUUGUAGAUGAAUCUAAUAAUAGUUUGGACAA
Molecule: long non-coding RNA, 786 nt
Filed under: Elaeis guineensis (African oil palm)
Lineage: Eukaryota; Viridiplantae; Streptophyta; Magnoliopsida; Arecales; Arecaceae
Description: long non-coding RNA (EGUI_LNC074071)
Source: RNAcentral